This 482-nucleotide ribosomal RNA is filed under the name uncultured bacterium. RNAcentral describes it as "partial 16S ribosomal RNA". It matches the Rfam family "Bacterial small subunit ribosomal RNA", at positions 30 to 507 of the family's 1533-position model. The record is from RNAcentral.
AUUGAACGCUGGCGGCAUGCUUUACUCAUGCAAGUCGAACGGUAACAGGCCGCAAGGUGCUGACGAGUGGCGAACGGGUGAGUAAUGCAUCGGAACGUGCCCAGUCGUGGGGGAUAACUACUCGAAAGAGUAGCUAAUACCGCAUACGAUCUAUGGAUGAAAGCGGGGGACCGUAAGGCCUCGCGCGAUUGGAGCGGCCGAUGUCAGAUUAGGUAGUUGGUGGGGUAAAGGCUCACCAAGCCAACGAUCUGUAGCUGGUCUGAGAGGACGACCAGCCACACUGGGACUGAGACACGGCCCAGACUCCUACGGGAGGCAGCAGUGGGGAAUUUUGGACAAUGGGCGCAAGCCUGAUCCAGCAAUGCCGCGUGCAGGAAGAAGGCCUUCGGGUUGUAAACUGCUUUUGUACGGAACGAAACGGCUCUGGUUAAUACCCGGGGCUAAUGACGGUACCGGAAGAAUAAGCACCGGCUAACUACGUG